RNAcentral lists this ribosomal RNA (1224 nucleotides) under Salmonella enterica. RNAcentral describes it as "partial 23S ribosomal RNA". It matches the Rfam family "Bacterial large subunit ribosomal RNA", at positions 1525 to 2730 of the family's 2925-position model. Lineage: Bacteria; Pseudomonadati; Pseudomonadota; Gammaproteobacteria; Enterobacterales; Enterobacteriaceae. The record is from RNAcentral. RNAcentral also lists the same sequence under 1 other name.
UGGUUUUCCAGGCAAAUCCGGAAAAUCAAGGCUGAGGCGUGACGACGAGGCACUACGGUGCUGAAGCAACAAAUGCCCUGCUUCCAGGAAAAGCCUCUAAGCAUCAGGUAACACGAAAUCGUACCCCAAACCGACACAGGUGGUCAGGUAGAGAAUACCAAGGCGCUUGAGAGAACUCGGGUGAAGGAACUAGGCAAAAUGGUGCCGUAACUUCGGGAGAAGGCACGCUGAUAUGUAGGUGAAGCGGUUUACCCGUGGAGCUGAAAUCAGUCGAAGAUACCAGCUGGCUGCAACUGUUUAUUAAAAACACAGCACUGUGCAAACACGAAAGUGGACGUAUACGGUGUGACGCCUGCCCGGUGCCGGAAGGUUAAUUGAUGGGGUCAGCGCAAGCGAAGCUCCUGAUCGAAGCCCCGGUAAACGGCGGCCGUAACUAUAACGGUCCUAAGGUAGCGAAAUUCCUUGUCGGGUAAGUUCCGACCUGCACGAAUGGCGUAAUGAUGGCCAGGCUGUCUCCACCCGAGACUCAGUGAAAUUGAACUCGCUGUGAAGAUGCAGUGUACCCGCGGCAAGACGGAAAGACCCCGUGAACCUUUACUAUAGCUUGACACUGAACAUUGAGCCUUGAUGUGUAGGAUAGGUGGGAGGCUUUGAAGUGUGGACGCCAGUCUGCAUGGAGCCGGCCUUGAAAUACCACCCUUUAAUGUUUGAUGUUCUAACGUGGACCCGUAAUCCGGGUUGCGGACAGUGUCUGGUGGGUAGUUUGACUGGGGCGGUCUCCUCCUAAAGAGUAACGGAGGAGCACGAAGGUUGGCUAAUCCUGGUCGGACAUCAGGAGGUUAGUGCAAUGGCAUAAGCCAGCUUGACUGCGAGCGUGACGGCGCGAGCAGGUGCGAAAGCAGGUCAUAGUGAUCCGGUGGUUCUGAAUGGAAGGGCCAUCGCUCAACGGAUAAAAGGUACUCCGGGGAUAACAGGCUGAUACCGCCCAAGAGUUCAUAUCGACGGCGGUGUUUGGCACCUCGAUGUCGGCUCAUCACAUCCUGGGGCUGAAGUAGGUCCCAAGGGUAUGGCUGUUCGCCAUUUAAAGUGGUACGCGAGCUGGGUUUAGAACGUCGUGAGACAGUUCGGUCCCUAUCUGCCGUGGGCGCUGGAGAACUGAGGGGGGCUGCUCCUAGUACGAGAGGACCGGAGUGGACGCAUCACUGGUGUUCGGGUUGUCAUGCC